RNAcentral lists this ribosomal RNA (650 nucleotides) under uncultured bacterium. Its description in RNAcentral is "bacterial SSU rRNA". It matches the Rfam family "Bacterial small subunit ribosomal RNA", at positions 129 to 773 of the family's 1533-position model. The record is from RNAcentral.
CCCAGUCGUGGGGGAUAACGUAGCGAAAGUUACGCUAAUACCGCAUACGUCCUGAGGGAGAAAGCGGGGGACCGUAAGGCCUCGCGCGAUUGGAGCGGCCGAUGUCGGAUUAGCUAGUUGGUGGGGUAAAGGCCUACCAAGGCAACGAUCCGUAGCGGGUCUGAGAGGAUGAUCCGCCACACUGGGACUGAGACACGGCCCAAACUUCUACGGGAGGCAGCAGUGGGGAAUUUUGGACAAUGGGCGAAAGCCUGAUCCAGCCAUGCCGCGUGAGUGAAGAAGGCCUUCGGGUUGUAAAGCUCUUUCAGACGGAAAGAAAUCUUCUGGGCUAAUACCCCGGGAGGAUGACGGUACCGUAAGAAGAAGCACCGGCUAACUACGUGCCAGCAGCCGCGGUAAUACGUAGGGUGCGAGCGUUAAUCGGAAUUACUGGGCGUAAAGCGUGCGCAGGCGGUGAUGUAAGACAGAUGUGAAAUCCCCGGGCUCAACCUGGGAACUGCGUUUGUGACUGCAUCACUCGAGUACGGCAGAGGGAGGUGGAAUUCCGCGUGUAGCAGUGAAAUGCGUAGAGAUGCGGAGGAACACCGAUGGCGAAGGCAGCCUCCUGGGCCAGUACUGACGCUCAUGCACGAAAGCGUGGGGGAGCAAAC